Molecule: ribosomal RNA, 441 nt
Filed under: uncultured bacterium
Lineage: Bacteria
Description: bacterial SSU rRNA
Rfam family: Bacterial small subunit ribosomal RNA
Source: RNAcentral
AACGCGAAGAACCUUACCUGGGCUCGAAAUGUACAGGACAGCGGUAGAAAUACCGUCUCCCAGCAAUGGGUCUGUAUAUAGGUGCUGCAUGGCUGUCGUCAGCUCGUGUCGUGAGAUGUUGGGUUAAGUCCCGCAACGAGCGCAACCCUUGUCCUGUGUUGCCAUCAUUCAGUUGGGAACUCGCAGGAGACCGCCAGGGAUAACCUGGAGGAAGGUGGGGAUGACGUCAAGUCCUCAUGGCCUUUAUGUCCAGGGCUACACACGUGCUACAAUGGACGGUACAAAGGGCUGCCAACCCGCAAGGGGGAGCCAAUCCCAAAAAACCGUUCUCAGUUCGGAUUGCAGGCUGCAACUCGCCUGCAUGAAGCUGGAAUCGCUAGUAAUGGUGGAUCAGAACGCCACCGUGAAUACGUUCCCGGGCCUUGUACACACCGACUGUAC